GGCAGUGUAGCCAAGUGGUUACGGCGUCACGUUUAGGCCAUGUGCACAAACCGUGAUGGGUUUCCCGCGCGAGUUCGAAUCUCGUCACUGUCA
Molecule: non-coding RNA, 93 nt
Organism: Cytidiella melzeri
Lineage: Eukaryota; Fungi; Basidiomycota; Agaricomycetes; Polyporales; Irpicaceae
Source: the annotation of a GenBank genome assembly